Molecule: ribosomal RNA, 1284 nt
Filed under: Cronobacter sakazakii
Lineage: Bacteria; Pseudomonadati; Pseudomonadota; Gammaproteobacteria; Enterobacterales; Enterobacteriaceae
Description: partial 23S ribosomal RNA
Rfam family: Bacterial large subunit ribosomal RNA
Source: RNAcentral
GGGGCCAUCCCGGCUUACCAACCCGAUGCAAACUGCGAAUACCGGAGAAUGUUAUCACGGGAGACACACGGCGGGUGCUAACGUCCGUCGUGAAGAGGGAAACAACCCAGACCGCCAGCUAAGGUCCCAAAGUCAUGGUUAAGUGGGAAACGAUGUGGGAAGGCCCAGACAGCCAGGAUGUUGGCUUAGAAGCAGCCAUCAUUUAAAGAAAGCGUAAUAGCUCACUGGUCGAGUCGGCCUGCGCGGAAGAUGUAACGGGGCUAAACCAUGCACCGAAGCUGCGGCAGCGACGCUUAUGCGUUGUUGGGUAGGGGAGCGUUCUGUAAGCCUGCGAAGGUGUGCUGUGAGGCAUGCUGGAGGUAUCAGAAGUGCGAAUGCUGACAUAAGUAACGAUAAAGCGGGUGAAAAGCCCGCUCGCCGGAAGACCAAGGGUUCCUGUCCAACGUUAAUCGGGGCAGGGUGAGUCGACCCCUAAGGCGAGGCCGAAAGGCGUAGUCGAUGGGAAACAGGUUAAUAUUCCUGUACUUGGUGUUACUGCGAAGGGGGGACGGAGAAGGCUAUGUCGGCCGGGCGACGGUUGUCCCGGUUUAAGCGUGUAGGCUGACUUUCCAGGCAAAUCCGGAAAGUUAAGGCUGAGGCGUGAUGACGAGGCACCACGGUGCUGAAGUGACAAAUGCCCUGCUUCCAGGAAAAGCCUCUAAGCAUCAGGUAACAUCAAAUCGUACCCCAAACCGACACAGGUGGUCAGGUAGAGAAUACCAAGGCGCUUGAGAGAACUCGGGUGAAGGAACUAGGCAAAAUGGUGCCGUAACUUCGGGAGAAGGCACGCUGACAUGUAGGUGAAGCCCCUGCGGGUGGAGCUGAAGUCAGUCGAAGAUACCAGCUGGCUGCAACUGUUUAUUAAAAACACAGCACUGUGCAAACACGAAAGUGGACGUAUACGGUGUGACGCCUGCCCGGUGCCGGAAGGUUAAUUGAUGGGGUUAUCGCAAGAGAAGCUCCUGAUCGAAGCCCCGGUAAACGGCGGCCGUAACUAUAACGGUCCUAAGGUAGCGAAAUUCCUUGUCGGGUAAGUUCCGACCUGCACGAAUGGCGUAAUGAUGGCCAGGCUGUCUCCACCCGAGACUCAGUGAAAUUGAACUCGCUGUGAAGAUGCAGUGUACCCGCGGCAAGACGGAAAGACCCCGUGAACCUUUACUACAGCUUGACACUGAACAUUGAGCCUUGAUGUGUAGGAUAGGUGGGAGGCUUUGAAGCGUGGACGCCAGUCUGCGUGGAGCCGAC